This 974-nucleotide ribosomal RNA is filed under the name Salmonella enterica subsp. enterica serovar Paratyphi A. The record is from RNAcentral. Lineage: Bacteria; Pseudomonadati; Pseudomonadota; Gammaproteobacteria; Enterobacterales; Enterobacteriaceae.
UAGUUUGACUGGGGCGGUCUCCUCCUAAAGAGUAACGGAGGAGCACGAAGGUUGGCUAAUCCUGGUCGGACAUCAGGAGGUUAGUGCAAUGGCAUAAGCCAGCUUGACUGCGAGCGUGACGGCGCGAGCAGGUGCGAAAGCAGGUCAUAGUGAUCCGGUGGUUCUGAAUGGAAGGGCCAUCGCUCAACGGAUAAAAGGUACUCCGGGGAUAACAGGCUGAUACCGCCCAAGAGUUCAUAUCGACGGCGGUGUUUGGCACCUCGAUGUCGGCUCAUCACAUCCUGGGGCUGAAGUAGGUCCCAAGGGUAUGGCUGUUCGCCAUUUAAAGUGGUACGCGAGCUGGGUUUAGAACGUCGUGAGACAGUUCGGUCCCUAUCUGCCGUGGGCGCUGGAGAACUGAGGGGGGCUGCUCCUAGUACGAGAGGACCGGAGUGGACGCAUCACUGGUGUUCGGGUUGUCAUGCCAAUGGCACUGCCCGGUAGCUAAAUGCGGAAGAGAUAAGUGCUGAAAGCAUCUAAGCACGAAACUUGCCCCGAGAUGAGUUCUCCCUGAGACUUUAGGUCUCCUGAAGGAACGUUGAAGACGACGACGUUGAUAGGCCGGGUGUGUAAGCGCAGCGAUGCGUUGAGCUAACCGGUACUAAUGAACCGUGAGGCUUAACCUUACAACGCCGAAGAUGUUUUGGCGGAUGAGAAGACGAUUUUCAGCACUGAUUNNNNNNNNNNNNNNNNNNNNGCGGAUGAGAGACGAUUUUCAGCACUGAUUCCAGAUUACAUCAGAACGUAAAAACGGUCUGAUAACAGAAUUUGCCUGGCGGCAGUAGCGCGGUGGUCCCACCUGANNNNNNNNNNNNNNNNNNNNUAGCGCGGUGGUCCCACCUGACCCCAUGCCGAACUCAGAAGUGAAACGCCGUAGCGCCGAUGGUAGUGUGGGGUCUCCCCAUGCGAGAGUAGGGAACUGCCAGGCAUCAAAU